GGAUGUGAGGGUGAUCUGGCUGCAACAUCUGUCACCCCGUUGGUUGCCAGGGUUGAUUCGGCUGAUCUGGCUGGCUAGGCAGGGGUCUCCUUCUCCCGCAGUGCUCCCUGAGGCUAUGUACUUGGUUGAAGUGGACGACCACCCCCGAUAGAUGAGGGCUGUUUUCUUGGCCAAAGGUGUACAAAUAGCUGCUCUCUACUGCUAGGACCUCCAAACAAACUGUCAAGAUACAAACAUCCCCCGUGUCUUUGGGCCUGUGAGACUGUCACCUUCAUGUGUUUUGCCCUUUGCCUCUUUCUGCAGCAAAGCGGU
RNAcentral lists this small nuclear RNA (312 nucleotides) under Heterocephalus glaber (naked mole-rat). RNAcentral's name for it is "7SK RNA". It matches the Rfam family "7SK RNA", at positions 1 to 263 of the family's 331-position model. Rfam says of the family: 7SK was discovered as an abundant small nuclear RNA in the mid-70s but a possible function has only recently been suggested. Two independent studies have found that 7SK RNA binds the CDK9/cyclin T complex (known as elongation factor P-TEFb). P-TEFb activates transcription by phosphorylating the C-terminal domain of RNA polymerase II. Lineage: Eukaryota; Metazoa; Chordata; Mammalia; Rodentia; Bathyergidae. The record is from Rfam by way of RNAcentral.